Molecule: ribosomal RNA, 1581 nt
Filed under: Escherichia coli
Lineage: Bacteria; Pseudomonadati; Pseudomonadota; Gammaproteobacteria; Enterobacterales; Enterobacteriaceae
Description: bacterial LSU rRNA
Rfam family: Bacterial large subunit ribosomal RNA
Source: RNAcentral
GUGUGACUGCGUACCUUUUGUAUAAUGGGUCAGCGACUUAUAUUCUGUAGCAAGGUUAACCGAAUAGGGGAGCCGAAGGGAAACCGAGUCUUAACUGGGCGUUAAGUUGCAGGGUAUAGACCCGAAACCCGGUGAUCUAGCCAUGGGCAGGUUGAAGGUUGGGUAACACUAACUGGAGGACCGAACCGACUAAUGUUGAAAAAUUAGCGGAUGACUUGUGGCUGGGGGUGAAAGGCCAAUCAAACCGGGAGAUAGCUGGUUCUCCCCGAAAGCUAUUUAGGUAGCGCCUCGUGAAUUCAUCUCCGGGGGUAGAGCACUGUUUCGGCAAGGGGGUCAUCCCGACUUACCAACCCGAUGCAAACUGCGAAUACCGGAGAAUGUUAUCACGGGAGACACACGGCGGGUGCUAACGUCCGUCGUGAAGAGGGAAACAACCCAGACCGCCAGCUAAGGUCCCAAAGUCAUGGUUAAGUGGGAAACGAUGUGGGAAGGCCCAGACAGCCAGGAUGUUGGCUUAGAAGCAGCCAUCAUUUAAAGAAAGCGUAAUAGCUCACUGGUCGAGUCGGCCUGCGCGGAAGAUGUAACGGGGCUAAACCAUGCACCGAAGCUGCGGCAGCGACGCUUAUGCGUUGUUGGGUAGGGGAGCGUUCUGUAAGCCUGUGAAGGUGUGCUGUGAGGCAUGCUGGAGGUAUCAGAAGUGCGAAUGCUGACAUAAGUAACGAUAAAGCGGGUGAAAAGCCCGCUCGCCGGAAGACCAAGGGUUCCUGUCCAACGUUAAUCGGGGCAGGGUGAGUCGACCCCUAAGGCGAGGCCGAAAGGCGUAGUCGAUGGGAAACAGGUUAAUAUUCCUGUACUUGGUGUUACUGCGAAGGGGGGACGGAGAAGGCUAUGUUGGCCGGGCGACGGUUGUCCCGGUUUAAGCGUGUAGGCUGGUUUUCCAGGCAAAUCCGGAAAAUCAAGGCUGAGGCGUGAUGACGAGGCACUACGGUGCUGAAGCAACAAAUGCCCUGCUUCCAGGAAAAGCCUCUAAGCAUCAGGUAACAUCAAAUCGUACCCCAAACCGACACAGGUGGUCAGGUAGAGAAUACCAAGGCGCUUGAGAGAACUCGGGUGAAGGAACUAGGCAAAAUGGUGCCGUAACUUCGGGAGAAGGCACGCUGAUAUGUAGGUGAAGUCCCUCGCGGAUGGAGCUGAAAUCAGUCGAAGAUACCAGCUGGCUGCAACUGUUUAUUAAAAACACAGCACUGUGCAAACACGAAAGUGGACGUAUACGGUGUGACGCCUGCCCGGUGCCGGAAGGUUAAUUGAUGGGGUUAGCGCAAGCGAAGCUCUUGAUCGAAGCCCCGGUAAACGGCGGCCGUAACUAUAACGGUCCUAAGGUAGCGAAAUUCCUUGUCGGGUAAGUUCCGACCUGCACGAAUGGCGUAAUGAUGGCCAGGCUGUCUCCACCCGAGACUCAGUGAAAUUGAACUCGCUGUGAAGAUGCAGUGUACCCGCGGCAAGACGGAAAGACCCCGUGAACCUUUACUAUAGCUUGACACUGAACAUUGAGCCUUGAUGUGUAGGAUAGGUGGGAGGCUU